GCCUGGGUGGCUCAGUCGGUUAAGCGUCCGACUUCAGCUCAGAUCAUGGUCUUGUGGUUUGUGGUUUCGAGCCCCACAUCGGGCU
This is a non-coding RNA of Felis catus (domestic cat), 85 nucleotides long. NCBI's taxonomy places the organism in Eukaryota, Metazoa, Chordata, Mammalia, Carnivora, Felidae. The record is from Rfam.